CACCACAGUGCAACGUCGUGUCGCCCAAAUAACCUUUAAAAUCACAUUUUUUAACACAAUUUUUGACUUUUAGUGGCUUUUAAAGUAUUAAAACAGUAUUCUGUUAUGUUUUUGUCAAGGAUUACAGUUUUUUUUCGUAUCACUUUCUUUGUUUGACGCCAUAUUGGAUCCGCGAGAUAAUACUAAGCAGAGCUGAUGUUCCAAGUACUAAAUACUAAAUGGAGUAAAGCUGAAAUACUGGGAUCUUCAAUUUACCACAAUCUGAAAAUGAAGUCGGUUGAAUAAGGUUGCCGCACAAAGCUGCUCAUAUGAAUUUGAAAAUGUUCAUGGAGAUGGAAGAAAUUUCGUUUUUUACAGGUGCUGCCAGCUGUCAACUGCGAAUGCGGCGGACAUAUUGGAAUUUAAAGGGCAACUUCACACUUUCAACUCUUUUAAUGUUGUGGGUGUCUAUGGAUAGCUAUAAUCGCUACCUUCCAGGCAAUCUAUCAUCUAGUUUGUAUCAUCUAGUUUGAAAAAUAAGGAAACUAUUGAACAAUGUCUUCCUAGCCGAAUCGGCUACGGCGGCUGUUCUCAUAUAAGGAGAUCAGCCAGCUGCGCAGGACAUACUACAGUGCACGCACAUUUGCUUGGACACAGCUGCACUCAUAAUUCCUUCACUCUCAUAGCGCUAUGGGACGACAAUCCGACACCACCGGAGAGAGAUCACAAGCAGGACCGACAUUAACUAUUAUGAUGGUGAUUAGAAUGACUACAUUCAGUAAGAAGGUUUGGUAAGGUUUUCGUAAGUAUACUCAAUUCUUUUUGCGCGCUUACCAGUACCUAAAUAGCUAGAUUAUUGAAAGGGCUCCUGGCUGAGUAACAACCGCACGGGUCGAUCGAUCAUAAGGUUAAGCAACGCUUGGUGCGGUCACUCCAUGGAUAACCAUCUUGUCAUGACGAGUUCCUCCGUGUUUCGGAAGGCACGUUAAAUUGGUGGGUCCCGGCUGUCAUUUGAACAUCUUUGGCAGUCGUUACGGGGAGUCAGGAGCCAGCAAGUCUGAGAACCAGUUUUGCUUAGGGGUUGCUCGAGUAACUGGGUUGAGGAGAUCAGAUAGGCAGUCGCUCCUUGUGGCACUCUGGUACUCAGCUGCAUUCGAUUAGACUGGAAGCAGACUCCAACGUUGGGAAAAGGCUGUAACACUUACCACAAAGAGUGUGUUAUAAAUGAAGAUGGAUGGAGAGGAAGACCAAAGAAAUGAUGGAUGGAUGGGCUGAAAGAUGACAUGAAUAUGAAUUGAGAUGUUAGUAUGACUCAAGUCCACUAACUUGUAAGUUAACAUUAUUAUCAUGUAGGAAUCUGAAUCUAUGGAUAACAACCAUAUUUCAUGAAUAUAAUCAUGUUUUAUCUCAUGAAAACGUGUGUGCCAUACUUGUAAGUCUUGUAUUUUUCGUCACAUAACACACCCAUUUUUUUUUAAACGGAAGCGUUCGAUUAAAAAUCAAUUUUUAUUUUUAUAUGUACAGGGUAACUCAAAGUUAUUAAAUUUUGUUACAGAGUGGUAACUUUUGCGAUAUGCUGAAUUUAGUAGCAUUUAAUUCAAUCACUUAUUUCUCCAUUUUACAGCGUUUUCACAUUAGCAAAUUUUUCCACCCGGUUUUUUUACGUACAACACAUUCGGAGAAUAAAAAAAACUUAAAUCUCAUUAUUUUAUUUUAUUGAUUUUUGUCCUUGCGAUUAAAAAGGCUAGUGUGAAUUCGUUGCUAUAGUUUUUUGUACUUUUCUGUUUAUACUUACAUAGAGUGCACAUGGCUAGUUUUUAUUUUUAUUCUUUUACUUAAUUUUCCGGGUUGCUCAUGACUUCUUGCACAUAUGAUCAUCACUUUCUUAAAACAACAAGAGCUCAAGUUCACCGGCAAUCUAACCAUCACUUUUCUUACAAAAAGUUAAUAAUUUCUUAAUUAUUAUACCUACUCAGAUAAAAUGCACCUAAACUUCUUUAGAUUAGCUAAUUCCAUCUCCAUUUAACGGACUUCCCAUGGGAACUACUUCAUGUACCAAGAUACCAUAAUAAAAGACACAAAAAAAAACUUUUGUUGGUAAAAACAAACAAAAUGACUUCUCAAAAUCAUCCUUUGUUUUAAUCUUAGAUGGAUGAUUAUUUAAAUGGUAGUGAAGACUUUCAAUAAUUCCUGUUGUUCUAGAAGUCUAUUCAUCACAUAUAAAAUUCUUAUAAUAUUUGAACAGUAAGUAGCCGCACCUACAUAAAAACUUUUUACUCCCCUAACCUAACCAUAGUUAUGUGUGCUCUAUCUUUUUGUUUUUUUUUUUUGUACUUUUAGCUCUAUGGCCCCCUCAACUGGAACCCGUAGAUCCGAACUUGUGCGUCUUUGCGUUGGGGAGACGCAACUGCGCGACUUUUUUGUCGCACGCAGACGCGACUUUUUGUCGUCCGUUAUGAGUUGGUCAUAUUUGCGACUCUACUUAUUUUUCAAUGUUGAUGGUGAAAAUUGACCAUUAUUUUCGUGUUUUUUUUUUUUUCAUUUAAUUGUGAAAAAUUAUGUAUUUUUUGAGUUUUUAAAUAACGAGCAAUAUUUUUUGACACAAUUUCUGAAGUACAUCGUUUACUUUGCGAUGUUUAAGACGACUGUUAGUCGCAGUUCUGUAGUGCGACACUAAAAGUCGUGAGUGUGUGCGUCCCCCACACAAGUUUGGUGAUACGUGGGCGCAGUUUUGGCGGGAUUUCGUCGCUCUCCGCCAUUUUGAUUUUCUUCAUUUUUUUUUCUUUUUAUUUUAUUUUGUAGUUUUAUUUUCUAUUCGAAAUGAAAAUAAAAAGACAUUACAUUGCAAUCGUAAUAAUUCACUUUUUAAUGCUUUUAAUGCGGUCAAUAUAUUUUUUGAGUUUACAAAAAGUCAUUUUGGAUAAUGUCAUUUCUAUUUUCAUUUUGAAUAACAUAGAGAAUUAUUGGUAUGUUUUUAAAAUUCCUUGCACUUUUCAUUUUUUUUUUAUUCUUGUACACAUUUUUGAUAAUGAAUAACAGAGAUGAAACGAAUAUUUGUAGAUAUAGAACUGCAUAAGUGGGGGAAUAUUUUGUUUUUGAUAGAUGAAAGAUAAAAAAGGAUGGAAUUUCGCUUUUAUAGAUGAAAGUAAAAUUAUCGAGGAGAUCUUGCUUCACCUGGAUAAAAGUAGUCUAUGUUAUUUUUGUAUAUUUCAGUUUUGUAGUAUUGACGUAAAAUGUGACAGUCAAACACAGUUAUUUAUAAGAGUUAUUUAAUAUAUUUACUGUUACUAAAUAAAAUACUCGCUUCAUCUCAAUCCAGUAAUAUUUAGGUAGUUUUGUAAAGCACAUUUCUAUUAUUAAAGAAGUUAAUUCCUUGUUAUUAGAGUUAUUUCUUUUACGUACCUACGAAGCCGUAUGUUAGAUGCACUUGACAUCUUGUCUGGUAAUUUAUUUUUGUACUUUAAGAAUGCAAGUUUCCUUAGUUUUUAAAAUGUAAUGGCUGUUUAGUCGAUAUUAUCUAUCUCGUUAUUAUUUUCAUUUUAUAUAGUGCUAUAUACUGUUGUGUGUAUAUAGAUACCUAUGUGUAUUGUCCUAUUGUAUACUAGUGAACCUACCGUCAGUUGCACAAAGCUCCAUUAAAGUUAAAGCUACAUUAAAUAUAUUGCUGAGACUUUAUCUUGUUGACAAAGAAAGAGCCAUUGUCGUCUCGUAGUCUCAUGGCGAGACUGCUGUUCACGGGGUUCGAUUCCUGGAUCAAAAUUGCGUUGAGAAUUUUAAAACACUUUCACAAAGCAGUAGUCUGGAAAUUGGUGAUUGAUAAACCCGAGCAUCGGAGACAAAGACUCUAUAGUCUUUCUCUCUGACUCUAUAGUAUAGUCUAUAGUCGAUCUAUAUCGGAGAGCAUGUUAAUGUUAGUUUUAAUUAUUAGUAUAUUUUAUUUUAAUUUAUUCUCAUGCUGUUGAACAUUAGUCGUGUCUUAAGCCUUAAUACUAAGCAAGUAUAUAUGUCUAGAUGCAUGGUAAUUAUCGCCAUAAGUACCUACCUCUUCAUCUCAAAUAAAUUAUGCUAAUGCUUGCAUGUUAUUUUCUAAACAAAUCUGUAUUCUCAAUUUACUAGACGUAAGUAACUAUGUACAUAUAUUUGUAAUUAAAGGAUUUACAACCAAAUGUCUCAAUUCUACAUAGCUAUUAAGUUUACUAUUCUAUGUUAAUCUUAUAGUAAGACAUAUAAAUGUUACGGAAAAGUAUAUAUAUAUCAAUUUAAUUUAAUAGUCUAUUCUUCUUCUAUUGUGAUUAAUACCAAUUUACCAAUCAACGUCUUAAUAGUUAUAUAUUCAACGACAGAACAAAACAAGCUACUGCUUCCUAUAAUAUGUUUUUAGUUAGAAGAUAUUUUUAAUUAUUUUUCCCUCUAACGUCACUCUAGGUACACCGCCCCACGCAAGUUUGACAGCAAGAAAACGCGCCAUAGACUGGUUGAGGUAGUAGGUUGUAUAGUACUGAAUUACAACUUAUGGGAGAGACUGUACGGCCUACUAACUUUCCUGGUCUAUGGGCUAUUCUUCGAAAAUGGCGCGAACUUGAAGCAAUGACAACGACACUCGGAAUUUUAAUUUUAAGUAGAUUAUAAAAAAACUGUUGUGUAAAUAACUUAUUCUAUUAUAUUAUGAUAGAAUUGAUUAGAUGUGUAAGAAAAUAAUAAGUUAAAAUAUGUAGGUAUGUAUGUAUUCAACUUUUAGUGAGUACUACCUUUUAAAAUUAUGACGCAAGUAUUUCACUUAAACGUUCCUUAAGUUUAGGUCUUAGUUAAGUCUUUCUUUCGCAAUUAUAAUAAACUAUUUUGUUUCAAAACAAGAUUUCAUUUCAGAACUAUGUAAGCACAUGUUUAAAAUAACAUAAUUUAACUUUAAGUACCUCGACUCCUAUACUUCGUGAGGGAUGGUGAUAAUUUUACAAUUUGUCGGGUAGGUACCUACGAGAUUUUUAAAAAUUGCAUUUCCUUUACGUAUUUGCGUGUCUACGUAUGAAUUUAAAAGAUUGUCUUACAAAGUUUUCAGUGCUUUUGCGUCUUCAAUAAAAUAAAUAAUUGAUAUAUUAAUCAA
This 5080-nucleotide long non-coding RNA is filed under the name Helicoverpa zea (corn earworm). RNAcentral's name for it is "uncharacterized LOC124643692, transcript variant X2". The stretch from base 4450 to 4526 matches the Rfam family "let-7 microRNA precursor family". Lineage: Eukaryota; Metazoa; Arthropoda; Insecta; Lepidoptera; Noctuidae. The record is from RNAcentral.